CAACCUACGGGGGGCAGCAGUGGGGAAUAUUGGGCAAUGGAGGCAACUCUUACCCAGCAAUGCCGCGUGAAUGAAGAAGGUCUUCGGAUUGUAAAGUUCUUUAAUUGGGGACGAAAAAAAUGACGGUACCCAAGGAAUAAGCCCCGGCUAACUACGUGCCAGCAGCCGCGGUAAUACGUAGGGGGCAAGCGUUGUUCGGAAUGACUGGGCGUAAAGGGUGUGUAGGCGGGGUUGACAGUUAGAAGUGAAAUACCUAGAGCUUAACUCCGGAGCUGCUUCUAAAACUGCUAUACUUGAGU
Molecule: ribosomal RNA, 299 nt
Filed under: uncultured bacterium
Lineage: Bacteria
Description: partial 16S ribosomal RNA
Rfam family: Bacterial small subunit ribosomal RNA
Source: RNAcentral